This is a long non-coding RNA of Mytilus californianus (California mussel), 3568 nucleotides long. RefSeq lists it as uncharacterized. The record is from RefSeq and is a predicted model, not a curated record. The transcript is spliced from 4 exons. Lineage: Eukaryota; Metazoa; Mollusca; Bivalvia; Mytilida; Mytilidae.
GGCAUUAAAAUGUGAAAAAAUAUGACAUAUAGAUUAUCUUUUGAUCAGAUUAUGUAUCAUCAAAAUCAGUCAAUUUCAAACACAUACAAAAUCAAAGCGAAAGAUUCUCACAUUCAUAACUAGCAAUUUAUAACAGUGCAAUGUCUUUUUAUAGUUUUUCUUGGAGUGCAGUUUUGUUUUUCUGUGGCUACAAAAGAAAAACCUGGCCUCCUGACGUUUACAUGGGAAACCAAAAGGGCAGACAUGUACCACGUAAGAUGUGACUUUGAGUCUGGUGAACAAAUUGCUUUUUUCUCUCUUUAUGCCUACAAAGAUCAAUACAACAGAGAUAAAUAUAAUUUGAUAAAAAGCAGAACGAUAAAUCGGUUUCAGAUUUAUAUCUAUAACGUUACACUUGAAGAUGAAGGUUUGUACUGCUGUGCAUGGUUAAAUGAAGAAUACAGUGAAUUGCAUACAGAAACGGCAGUCCUAAAUAUAACAAAUGAUCUUAUAGUACAAAUACAUGGUGAAACAGCAGUAAUAGAAGGCGAUAUAUUAAAUAUUACAUGUUUCUCUCAAGCCUUUGUACCUUCUACCUUUUUCUGGUAUAACUUAUCACAGCAUGGAUACUGGUAUAGUAUAAACGAAACAGGCGAUUCUUUGAUUAUUGAGUCAGCUGACAGAGAGAAUUCUGGGAAGUAUAAGUGUUUGGCAAAGAAUGAUGUAAUUAGUGGGUCUGCAGAAAUUUCCGUCACAAUUCAAUGUAAUUAUCAACUCAAUGUUUCUCUGAUUCAAAAAUAUCCUACUUUGAGCUUUUAACUAAUAGUAGUAAAUGCAUAUAUGAUCGAUACCUACAUGAAACAGACUCAGAGAUAACGAUCAAAAUCCGAUUAGUUCUAAAUUGCUAGUGACCGUAAGAACCGCAAAUCGGCUUAUUUUGUAAAAAUAUUUCCUUUCUCUAUUUGAACUGUACACGUAUAGCUAACAACAAAAUUAUUUUCAUUUACGUGUGUUCAAAGUAAUUGCAAAUGGCUGAUAUUUUUGUUCGAGCAUAUUGUUUUUCUUAAAUUGUUUAACAUUUCAUAGCGGUAUAACAUGUUACUUUUAUUAUUCUUCCCUUAGUUUAUUGAUUUUGUAUUUACAUUGUAUCAUAGGUCAAAUUUAUUUGUUCAGUGUAUGUUUACUGGUGUUAAUAUGUCCUUUGAUUGAGUUAAGUCAUUUCAAUUGAUAUUUUAUAGUGUGUCUUUCUAUGUUGUGAUGUUACACUAUUGUUUCAGAAAAAGGGUGAAGGUUUGGUACCAUUAAAACGUUUAAACCCGCUGCAAUUGUUUGCACCUGUCCUAAGUCAGGAAUCUGAUGUUAAGUAGUUGUCGUUUGUUCAUGUGGUUCAUAAGUGUUUCUCGUUUCUCGUUUUUUAUAUAGAUUAGACCGUUGGUUUUUCCGUUUGAAUGGUUUUACACUAGUAAUAUUUGGGGCCCUUUAUAGCUUGCUGUUCGGUGUGAGCCAAGGCUCCGUGUUGAAGACCGUACUUUGACCUAUAAUGGUUUACUUUUAUAAAAUUUUACUUGGAUGGAGAGUUGUCUCAUUGGCACUCAUACCACAUCUUCUUAUAUUUAUUAUCAAUUUAUAGUUACUUGUCUAACGCGGCAAAUAUUUCAUGAAUAUAUAAGACAUAAUAUAAUAAGUACGUCUAAACAAGUAACAACUUUACAACAGAUCCAUCCAUUGGAUCACCAGUGAAGGUGAUACACGGCUGAAAACACAUAUUAUAUUCAUAAUUACUCUAAAUAUCAGCACACCAAUGUUAAAUCUGCAAAUUUGCGGAAGCAAAUUCUUGUUCUUCGCUAGCCGGGAUUUUAACUCAUGCUAUUGGGAUAUCGAGACAACACCAUCUGCACUGUGUCCAGCACCCUAGAUCACUCUGCCACCUAGACUGAACUGAACAUAUAUAUAUAUAUGUAUAUCUCUUUGGGCUUCUCAAAUUAAAUAAUAUGUCUUUUCGGUCAUUAAUAUUAAACACUUUUAAAAAACAAAUUUUUCUGAUUUUUUAUAUACUCUACAGAUUAUCAAAUCAUUUCAGAUAAUAGUUAGUCCUCCCACAAAAGAUUUAAAAACAUGUAAACAAAAACACUCACGUGCAAAUUAUCAACUGACUUUAUCAUUGAUUUUUACAUCUUUAUAUUUUAAUUCAAUUUACAAGACCCACCAGAGAUUCAGUUAAUCAACAGAUCAGACUCUGUCGAUUGUAUCGUAAGAGGUGUUCCAAACACUUACACGUUCUACAAAUGGAACCAUGAAUCAGAGUAUGGGGAGCACAUCCGUUAUCUCGAUGGUUUUGCAAAUGGAACGCUUACUUUAGAUAAUACAGAAUAUCCUUAUAUGAGAAAUGGUAUAUAUACGUGUACAGCCAGCAACGGUAUACGUGACAGUAAAGGGAACAAGAAACAAACAGGAUCUCGUCUGAUAAUAAUACCAGGCGAACCUGCAUUUUUGAAUUCAAGUUAUCAAACGAAUGUAUGCAGUCUCAAAAGAAAUUGUGAACUGACAUUUUACGUGUACAGUAACCCAAGAGUUGACAGAGUAGAAUUGAAAAGACUAAACGAACAAGAAAGCAAAAACAUGGUACAGUUUAAAAUAACCUCAGAAAAGUAUAUGCUACCGACCUGUUGGAAAACAUUUCACAUCACCGGCUACAAAGUAGAAAUUAUAACAAGAAUCCUAGAGGAAUAUGAUUUUACUACUUACGAACUAAAUAUUUGGAAUUCAUAUGGUUCAACGUCGUUCAACUUUUCAAUUGUGCCAGUGGAUGAUAUACAAAAGAGCAACAAACUAAAGAUGUAUCUGAUAAUUUUUGUAACUUUAUCAUCCGUACUCUUCCUGUAUAUUGUCACAACUCAUAUUUGGUUUCAUCGACGAAGCAGACAGUCGUCUUUGGAUGGCGAUAAUCAAUACGUAAAUUACGACGAAAUUGGAACAAUCCUUUCACAAUUUAUAAACAUCCGUCCGUUAUCUGAACAGCAGCAACGCAUCGUUCGCAUAGAUGUUGAACACGAACCUACAGCUGAUGCCGAAGAUAGAAAUGACACUUCUGAUUUAUCAUCCAACCAUUCAAGAAUACAUGAAAGUAUUAAUAACCUUCAAUAUUUGUCUUCAAAUGACGCAAUUCAACAGAAUCUUGGUGAAACUGGGACCGACUCAAGAUGUUGAAGUGGACCAAAGACAUAUGCAACCUCUCGAAAAUCAAUUGGCGAAAAGACGUUACAUCAAUCUACAAAUAUAACCUCAUGAUGAUUUGAAGAAUGUGAUUGAAGCACAGUUUAAUCUUAUAACGACCAAAUAAACCUCUGGGCGUGAAUUCUAAAACAUGUAAAAAUAAAAACCUUUACAAAUACGACAAAUAAAUCAUAAGCCAAAGACUGAGCUGUGUAUGAAAUGUUUUGUGUAUUCAGGAAUGCACUACCAUAAAAAAAUGCGUCCAAAACACUUUUGAUUUUAAAUAAAGUACACAGAAGUACUUGACACAGUUCUGAUGAACCUAUGUGCUCUGCAAUGUAUUGUCUUGAUUUUUUGUAUUAUAUUUUUUAUCAUA